Molecule: ribosomal RNA, 449 nt
Filed under: uncultured bacterium
Lineage: Bacteria
Description: bacterial SSU rRNA
Rfam family: Bacterial small subunit ribosomal RNA
Source: RNAcentral
AUCCAGACUCCUACGGGAGGCAGCAGUGGGGAAUGUUGGGCAAUGGGCGCAAGCCUGACCCAGCAACGCCGCGUGAAGGAAGAAGGCUUUCGGGUUGUAAACUGCUUUUCUCAGGGACGAAGCAAGUGACGGUACCUGAGGAAUAAGCCACGGCUAACUACGUGCCAGCAGCCGCGGUAAUACGUAGGGGGCAAGCGUUAUCCGGAUUUACUGGGUGUAAAGGGAGCGUAGACGGCAGUGCAAGUCUGGAGUGAAAGGCGGGGGCUCAACCCCCGGACUGCUCUGGAAACUGUACGGCUGGAGUGCAGGAGAGGUAAGUGGAAUUCCUAGUGUAGCGGUGAAAUGCGUAGAUAUUAGGAGGAACACCAGUGGCGAAGGCGGCUUUCUGGCUCAUAACUGACGCUGAGGCGCGAAAGCGUGGGGAGCAAACAGGAUUAGAUACCCCGGUA